AUUUAUGUACAUGAAAAUAAUCUUAUCUCAUGUUUGCACUGUGAUGAAUUCAACUUGUGAUGAAGCACAAAAUAUGGUUAAUAAGUUCAUAGAGUGAAAGUCAGUAAAUGGAAAUGAAGAGAGGAAUCUAUUUUCACUGAAGAUCAGACGUAUUUUUCAACAUCAUGGCCAUUUCUGAGAUGGUUAUAAAAGUAUAGCAUGAAACGAAAAACCCACAGAACUAUAACUCUAAGUUAGAGUUCUGUGGAAAAACCAGAACAAGUUGUGUUCUAUGAUCAGUUUUUUUUAGUCAAUGGCCUUAUCUGCCAAAGCUACUGUCCAGUUGUUUUUCUCAGCAAAAGAAUUUCAAUUUCCUACAUUUUUCAAAUGAAAAGAUAUGCAACAUAUUUCCUGUAUAGUUAUGAGGAUGGGGCAAAAUUAAUUCUAACCUACACGAAAAUUAUGGACAUCCAGCUAAUUGAAGACAAAACGAUAGAUAUUCAAAAAAUAUUUGUGAAUAGAAAAGUUAUUAGCGUCUAUGAUUGUAUUAGUUCUUUUUUUUUCCUUCGUUUUGAUAGUAAAUAAGUAUUCUUAUUUUAUUGUACACACCCCAUUUUUUUUCAUGUAUAAAAUUUCCUUUUUAUGCAUAAUAAAGGAUAUUUUAACCGUCCCCAAUGCCCAGAAGUCUUCUAUAGGUAUAAUUCUGUUAUUAUCAAUAAUCUCAAGUCAAGGAAACAAAGAUAUUUAUCUUAAAUUAUUUAUUUGUAUAAACAGAACAUGGUUAAUUAAACCAUCCUCCUAA
Leptinotarsa decemlineata (Colorado potato beetle) is the source of this 781-nucleotide long non-coding RNA. Lineage: Eukaryota; Metazoa; Arthropoda; Insecta; Coleoptera; Chrysomelidae. The record is from RefSeq and is a predicted model, not a curated record.